Diceros bicornis minor is the source of this 435-nucleotide long non-coding RNA. RefSeq lists it as uncharacterized. NCBI's taxonomy places the organism in Eukaryota, Metazoa, Chordata, Mammalia, Perissodactyla, Rhinocerotidae. The transcript has 3 exons. The record is from RefSeq and is a predicted model, not a curated record.
UUUGGCUCCCGGAGUUCUCUUAUUUUCUUCCAAGCUCAGGGCCCACCUGGAUAACAUAUCUCUCGGCCCAGAGAACUUGGAGGUGGGCCAGUCACAUAAAGAACCAGAACCCAGCAAAUGGGAGGAGGCGCAGGCUCCUGUACGUUUCGCAGAAUGAGCUGGUGAAUGACCGAUGUAGAUGGGCAUGGGAAGAAGUGAUAUAGAGAUGAUCCAACCACAGUCUAGUGGGCACCAGCAGUUUCUGUUCCUGCCCCCUUUCCAGCUUAAUUGAGGAGGAACUUGGGGAAACAAAAUGUCAGAAUUACAUCAAGUCACAAACCAACACUACGACAUCCAUCCUCUGCCCUCUCCUGGAAGUUUCCCAGUGGUGCUGACUUUGAAAUGGAUGGACUUCCGCAGACCCAGAAGUAGAAGGGAAUGUAUGUUGCCUGAACA